AGUGAACGCUGGCGGUAGGCCUAACACAUGCAAGUCGAACGGCAGCACAGUAAGAGCUUGCUCUUACGGGUGGCGAGUGGCGGAUGGGUGAGGAAUACAUCGGAAUCUACUUUUUCGUGGGGGAUAACGUAGGGAAACUUACGCUAAUACCGCAUACGACCUACGGGUGAAAGCAAGGGAUCUUCGGACCUUGCGCGAUUGAAUGAGCCGAUGUCGGAUUAGCUAGUUGGCGGGGUAAAGGCCCACCAAGGCGACGAUCCGUAGCUGGUCUGAGAGGAUGAUCAGCCACACUGGAACUGAGACACGGUCCAGACUCCUACGGGAGGCAGCAGUGGGGAAUAUUGGACAAUGGGCGCAAGCCUGAUCCAGCCAUACCGCGUGGGUGAAGAAGGCCUUCGGGUUGUAAAGCCCUUUUGUUGGGAAAGAAAAGCAGCAGGUUAAUACCCCGCUGUUCUGACGGUACCCAAAGAAUAAGCACCGGCUAACUUCGUG
RNAcentral lists this ribosomal RNA (492 nucleotides) under uncultured bacterium. Its description in RNAcentral is "partial 16S ribosomal RNA". It matches the Rfam family "Bacterial small subunit ribosomal RNA", at positions 29 to 507 of the family's 1533-position model. The record is from RNAcentral.